This 447-nucleotide ribosomal RNA is filed under the name uncultured bacterium. RNAcentral's name for it is "partial 16S ribosomal RNA". It matches the Rfam family "Bacterial small subunit ribosomal RNA", at positions 329 to 793 of the family's 1533-position model. The record is from RNAcentral.
GACCAGACUCCUACGGGAGGCAGCAGUGGGGAAUAUUGCACAAUGGGGGAAACCCUGAUGCAGCGACGCCGCGUGAGCGAUGAAGUAUUUCGGUAUGUAAAGCUCUAUCAGCAGGGAAGAAAAUGACGGUACCUGACUAAGAAGCCCCGGCUAACUACGUGCCAGCAGCCGCGGUAAUACGUAGGGGGCAAGCGUUAUCCGGAUUUACUGGGUGUAAAGGGAGCGUAGACGGCUGUGCAAGCCAGAUGUGAAAGCCCGGGGCUCAACCCCGGGACUGCAUUUGGAACUGUGUGGCUGGAGUGUCGGAGAGGCAGGCGGAAUUCCUAGUGUAGCGGUGAAAUGCGUAGAUAUUAGGAGGAACACCAGUGGCGAAGGCGGCCUGCUGGACGAUGACUGACGUUGAGGCUCGAAAGCGUGGGGAGCAAACAGGAUUAGAUACCCUGGUAU